This 197-nucleotide unclassified non-coding RNA is filed under the name uncultured Pseudorobillarda. Its description in RNAcentral is "sequence contains ITS1". The record is from RNAcentral. Lineage: Eukaryota; Fungi; Ascomycota; Dothideomycetes; Pleosporales.
CAAGAAGUCUCAGGGCUAUAUGCCCUGAAACCUUCCACCCUUUGUUUAUUGAACUUAUCUUGUUGUUGCCUCGGCGAGGGGGCGUUAUUGCGUAUCUUUUUUACGCAUUCUCCUCCCCCCCGCCGGUGUACAGCUCUAUAAACUUUUGAUAUAAACUAUACAGUCAGAGCCAUUAUGGCAUUUUGAUAAAUAAAUCA